UACGUUAGAGAUACGUAUGGAGGUUUUACAUUAGAGAUAGGUAUGGAAGUUUCUAUAAAAACAGGUUGCAGCCAGCAGGGCUCUGAAGGGUGUCACUUUCCCUCCCCCAUGUCUUUCCCUGUUUCCUGUGGCGUCCCAGGAAGGAGUGUGCAAAGAUCUCCCCCACCCUGGGGCAGUGGCUUUACCCAAGGCUCUUGAGCAGCUUGACUAGAGCCCCCACACGGG
This 225-nucleotide long non-coding RNA is filed under the name Homo sapiens (human). RNAcentral describes it as "HSALNT0216582". Lineage: Eukaryota; Metazoa; Chordata; Mammalia; Primates; Hominidae. The record is from RNAcentral.